RNAcentral lists this ribosomal RNA (497 nucleotides) under uncultured bacterium. Its description in RNAcentral is "partial 16S ribosomal RNA". It matches the Rfam family "Bacterial small subunit ribosomal RNA", at positions 28 to 507 of the family's 1533-position model. The record is from RNAcentral.
GAUGAACGCUGGCGGCGUGCCUAAUACAUGCAAGUCGAGCGAACAGACGAGGAGCUUGCUCCUCUGACGUUAGCGGCGGACGGGUGAGUAACACGUGGAUAACCUACCUAUAAGACUGGGAUAACUUCGGGAAACCGGAGCUAAUACCGGAUAACAUGUUGAACCGCAUGGUUCAACAGUGAAAGACGGUUUUGCUGUCACUUAUAGAUGGAUCCGCGUCGCAUUAGCUAGUUGGUAAGGUAACGGCUUACCAAGGUAACGAUGCGUAGCCGACCUGAGAGGGUGAUCGGCCACACUGGAACUGAGACACGGUCCAGACUCCUACGGGAGGCAGCAGUAGGGAAUCUUCCGCAAUGGGCGAAAGCCUGACGGAGCAACGCCGCGUGAGUGAAGAAGGUCUUCGGAUCGUAAAACUCUGUUAUUAGGGAAGAACAAAUGUGUAAGUAACUAUGCACGUCUUGACGGUACCUAAUCAGAAAGCCACGGCUAACUACGUG